GACGAACGCUGGCGGCGUGCUUAACACAUGCAAGUCGAACGGAAAGGCCCUGCUUUUGUGGGGUGCUCGAGUGGCGAACGGGUGAGUAACACGUGAGUAACCUGCCCAUGACUUUGGGAUAACUUCAGGAAACUGGGGCUAAUACCGGAUAGGGGCUCCUGCUGCAUGGUGGGGGUUGGAAAGUUUCGGCGGUUGGGGAUGGACUCGCGGCUUAUCAGCUUGUUGGUGGGGUAGUGGCUUACCAAGGCUUUGACGGGUAGCCGGCCUGAGAGGGUGACCGGCCACAUUGGGACUGAGAUACGGCCCAGACUCCUACGGGAGGCAGCAGUGGGGAAUAUUGCACAAUGGGCGGAAGCCUGAUGCAGCAACGCCGCGUGCGGGAUGACGGCCUUCGGGUUGUAAACCGCUUUCGCCUGUGACGAAGCGUGAGUGACGGUAAUGGGUAAAGAAGCACCGGCUAACUACGUG
This 468-nucleotide ribosomal RNA is filed under the name uncultured bacterium. RNAcentral describes it as "partial 16S ribosomal RNA". It matches the Rfam family "Bacterial small subunit ribosomal RNA", at positions 28 to 507 of the family's 1533-position model. The record is from RNAcentral.